Pteronotus mesoamericanus is the source of this 392-nucleotide long non-coding RNA. RefSeq lists it as uncharacterized. The record is from RefSeq and is a predicted model, not a curated record. NCBI's taxonomy places the organism in Eukaryota, Metazoa, Chordata, Mammalia, Chiroptera, Mormoopidae. The transcript is spliced from 2 exons.
CUCUCAAAAGUUGGGACGCUUGGUCCCUUCUGGGGAUGGACCCUGUGCCAGAGUUGGUUGGACUGUGCCCUGAGGACUCCUUUCCUCUCUGGUGCGCGCUCCACUGUGUCCCCACUGUCUGGUUAGCAAGGCAGAUGGAGCCUGGGUGGUUGCACAGGGAGCUCUAAGCCUGCUGGGCCUCAGGAUACAUCCCGCUGCCAGUGGCUUGAGGCGGACCCUGGAUUGCAACCUUGAUCUACCAGGCCAGUCGAAGAGGCAGAGUCACCAUGUUCUCAAGCCGUUCAGAUCCACCUUCAGGUCCUUCCUCCUGCUGCUGCCUGAGUUGUUGGCUCUCAGUUGAAGGCUGCCCUUGGGACAUAGUGGUGGUCUGCAGUCCUAGGAGGCUUGCUUGG